Molecule: ribosomal RNA, 200 nt
Filed under: uncultured prokaryote
Description: partial 16S ribosomal RNA
Rfam family: Bacterial small subunit ribosomal RNA
Source: RNAcentral
CGUCAAAUCAUCAUGCCCCUUAUGGCCAGGGCUACACACGUGCUACAAUGGCGGCGACAGAGGGAAGCGAAGCGGCGACGCGGAGCCAACCCCAAAAACGCCGCCCCAGUUCGGAUUGUAGCCUGCAACCCGGCUACAUGAAGCCGGAAUCGCUAGUAAUCGCGGAUCAGAAUGCCGCGGUGAAUACGUUCCCGGGUCUU